Molecule: transfer RNA, 82 nt
Filed under: Tongtianella jiaweipingae
Lineage: Bacteria; Bacillati; Actinomycetota; Actinomycetes; Actinomycetales; Actinomycetaceae
Description: Actinomyces sp. zg-332 tRNA-Tyr
Rfam family: tRNA
About the family: Transfer RNA (tRNA) molecules are approximately 80 nucleotides in length. Their secondary structure includes four short double-helical elements and three loops (D, anti-codon, and T loops).
Source: RNAcentral
GGCGAGUUUCCCGAGUGGCCAAAGGGGGCUGACUGUAAAUCAGCUGCGGAACGCUUCGGGGGUUCGAAUCCCUCACUCGCCA